GACGAACGCUGGCGGCGUGCUUAACACAUGCAAGUCGAACGGAAAGGCCCUGCUUUUGUGGGGUGCUCGAGUGGCGAACGGGUGAGUAACACGUGAGUAACCUGCCCUUGACUUUGGGAUAACUUCAGGAAACUGGGGCUAAUACCGGAUAGGAGCUCCUGCUGCAUGGUGGGGGUUGGAAAGUUUCGGCGGUUGGGGAUGGACUCGCGGCUUAUCAGCUUGUUGGUGGGGUAGUGGCUUACCAAGGCUUUGACGGGUAGCCGGCCUGAGAGGGUGACCGGCCACAUUGGGCCUGCGAUACGGCCCAGUCUCCUACGGGAGGCAGCAGUGGGGAAUCUUGCACAAUGGGCGGACGCCUGAUGCGGCAACGCCGCGUGCGGGAUGACGGCCUUCGGGUUGUAAACCGCUUUCGCCUGUGACGAAGCGUGAGUGACGGUAAUGGGUAAAGAAGCACCGGCUAACUACGUG
Molecule: ribosomal RNA, 468 nt
Filed under: uncultured bacterium
Lineage: Bacteria
Description: partial 16S ribosomal RNA
Rfam family: Bacterial small subunit ribosomal RNA
Source: RNAcentral